GGCGCCCUGGAGCUCAGGGGCCCAAUGUGCUCUCAAUGACCUCCACGGGCAUUUUUCAACCGUAGGUCUUUGGCUGCCGCAUCUUUCCAAACCCUAGUCGACCUUUAUUUACCUUGCAUUGUAAAAUUGCUGUUCACCCGAAGGAGUAGUGAGUCAUGAGGCAGCUGACGCCAGCAAGUUCUACCUUGAGCAUCAAGUACGAGUAGAAAGAUGAGCACCGGGAUAAGAUUUUUGCUUCAAAACACAUCGAGUAUUGAAUUCAUUGAGUUUUGAAGCUUUCAAAUACCAAGCCGAAAUUUGCAAGGAUGGAAUCAGGAAAGCUGACUCAGAGUGAAUUAAGACUUGCAACGAACGCAAACAACAACAACAACAACAAAAAGUUUCAGUAAGGAACAAGAAAAAGGUCAAGGAAAUAACUGGGCUACUAAUGGGAGAAGAUGGCAAGAAGGCAGCAAGAAGAAAGUAGAACUGCUUAAUUUCUUCUUUGCCUCUAUCUUCGUAUAAAAGGAAAAAAUAAUCCAACCUAACAAAAGCAACACCGUGGAGAUAGAACAGGAAUGCAGAUCAAAAUAGGCAAGAAAUUGGAAAGAAAACACUAUCUACUCUAGACAAGUUCAAAUUGUCAGGAACAGAUGGUUUAAUCUGAGGUUCCGAAAGAGAUGUGAUCUUGAAACCACUGAAUGAAAUCUUUCAGUACUCCUGGAACAUGAGGGAAUUGCCAGAGGACUGGAAAAAGCUGAUAUGGUUCCAACCUACAAAAAAGGGGGAAAGUCGAUCCAGGAAACUAAAGACCAAUCAGCUUGACAUCAAUACCCAAGAAAAUCCUAGAACAGAUGAUCAAGCAGUGAAUUUGUGAGCAUCAAGAAAUGAACAAGGUGAUUAUCAGAGGCCAGCAUGGGUUUGUUAAAAAGAGAUCACUCCAGACAAACUUUAUUGUCUUCUUUGAUAAAGUGACUAAAUUAAUGGAUCAGUGAAACAUUGUGGAUAUAGUAUACUUAGAGAAUACUAUAGUAAGGCAUUUGAAAAAUAGACCAUUGUAGAGAACUUCUUGGUAAAACAGAAAAAUGUGAGAUAGAAAGUACCACCACCAGAUGAAUUUGCAGUUAAGUGACUAACCACACUCCUUAUGUAUUCCUGAAUGAAACUAUUUCUACAUGGAAAGAAGCAUGCAAUGGGGUACCUUAGGUUCUGUUUUGUGGCCAGUAGUCUCCAACAUCUUCGUUAAAUGAUCUAGAUGAGCAGAUAGAAAGGGAGCUCACCAGAUCUGCAGGUGACACCAAGCUGGGGGGAAUUGCUAACGCUUUGCUAGGACUUUGGAUUCAAGAUUCAGUAGGAUCUUGAUAGACUUGACACUGGACCCUAGCCAACAUGCAGUUCAGUGGUGAGAAAAGUAAGGUGCCUGCCCUUAGGCAGGAAAAACCAAAUGCAGAAGUACUGAGUAGGGUGUACCUGACUCAAUAGUAGAAAUUAUGAGAGGGAUCUAGGUGUCUUAGUGGACCACCAAUUAAGCAGGAACUAGCAGUGUGCUGCAGCUGCCAAAAAAGCCAAUGCAGUCUAGGCUACACCAACAGAGAGAUAAUAUCAAGAUCACGAGAAGUGAUAGUAUUGCUUUACACUGUAAUAGUGAAGUCAUACUUGGAUUGGUGCAUCGAAUUCUGAUCACCACAAUACAAAAGACUCUAGAUAGCAUGCAGAGAAGAGCAACAAGAUGGUAAGGGGGCUGCAGGAUAUGAUAAAAGGAAUGAUUAAGGGAAUUAGGUAUGUCUAGCCUAAUGAAGAGAAGAAUUAGGGAUGAUAUGAUAACUCUUUUGGAGAGCCACGGAGAAGAGGGGGUUGACUUAUUCCACAAAGCACUUGAGGAAAGGACAAGAAACAAUGGGCGGAAGCUUGUUAACAAGAGAGCCAACCUGGAACUAAGGAGAAAUUUCCCGAUAGUGAGAACAAUUAACUAACGGAAUAGCUUACCUCCUUGGGUUGUGGGUGGGUUAUCACUGGAGGUUUUCAAGAAAAAAAUGGACAAUCAUUUGUCUGGGAUGAUAGGAUGAUAUAAGGUCUCCUGCCUUGAGCAGGGGUUGGACUUUAAGACCUCCAAAAUCUCUUCCAGCCCUAUAAUUGUAUGUCUUCUAUGACAGCCUUAUUUUUUGCUGAGCUGAUAUAUUAUUUUCUGAGCCUUUCUUUCUAUGAAAAAAAUCCAUUAUAAUUAUUUAAAAGUGUAACAACACCUGGGAAAAACAGCUUCAAAAUGGAAAAGCCUCAACAAUUUACUGAACAGGCUGGUUGGAAUGUCCUGGGGUGCUGAGGCUAACACCCUUUGUAGAACAGCCUUGGUUUUGAUUUAUUUCACAGCUGAAUAUUGUGACAGCAUGUGGCUUAACAGCACCCACACCAAAUGGUCAAUGUUCAACUUCACCAGACAAUCCAUAUCUCCUCUUGUACAUUAUAUCUCACUUCUGUGCACUGGUUACCAGUUCUUAGCAAUAUCAUACCAUCCCACAUUAGAAGGUAACAAGCUCUCAUUUGGCUAUGGUCAAAGAUGCUGAACAACAAGGCCCUCCCUAUUUACCAGGACAAUAUAUAUCCCAUCACAAGAUUGAAAUCUUGUAGACCAGCAUGGAAAACAGCUAUUAACAUCCACCAAGUUAAACCCUCCUGGAGAGAGGAAUGGUCCAAGAUACCUUCUUGUUGCCUGACCAUUAGUGAUCCCUUUACCAAACUACCCAGUUUUGACCUGCCUCACUGUCAAAAUUGAACAGAAUUAGGUGUGAUACUGGAAGAAACGCCUCUGCCCUGUAUCAAUGGGGAUGUAAAGAUUCUCCUUGUUCUUGUGAUGCUGAUAUGCAAACUGUUAAAUGCCCACAGUGUGCAUUCCCUGGUUCCCUAGAAGAUCUGCACAAUGCAGCACCAGAGGUGAUCGCCUGUAUAGCUGAAUUGGAUGUCCAGUUAUAAGGCCACUGCCAUACCCCCAUUGAAGCUUUUUAUAUAAUUACAUAGAUUAUGUGUAUAUGUUUACUUAUCUUCUAUCACCACAUCAUACACUAAAUAAAUGAUUAUUAUGUAUAAUUAUUCCAAGCCUUAUGGGCUUGCCUGUCUACCGUUUUACUCAAACAUUUAUAAUGCUCUGGCAGUUCAAGUCAUAUUUUGUCAAGGGCGCAAAGAACUAGUUCCAAGAUAUAUAAAAUGGUUAUCUAAAAUGUGUUCUUUUAACAACUUGAGCCUAAUGUGCCUCUUCCAUUCAGUUAAAAUGCAUUGAGCUAACUUGGCUUGCUUUUUUUUCCUUUGUGAUGACUUGCUGGAAGAGCAAACAAAACUAGGUCCAGACCAGUGGUGAUUUAACUGCAGAGCAAAGGUCAGUUUUGCCUGGUUUUGCAAUUUCCAAUUAUCUUCUGCACAAAUUCUUGUGAUGCUAUAGACAUGAAAACACUAGCUAAAGUCAUGCCUCAGGCUAGAUAGAGAGAUGUUACUGUCCUACAUUUGCUCCAAUAGUGUUGUGGUCCGUCAGCAGCCUACGGUGCUGGUGGCAGAAUCGGACAGUGAUGAGGCGGAGGUGAGGCCAGGGCCAUCGAGAAAUGGGGUGUGGACUCCAGACCCUCCAGGGCCUGAGAGUAGUGAGAGUGAGGUGCGGACUCCAGAGCCUCCAGAGGCCGAGAGUAGCGAGGAGGAGGAGGAACUGGGAGAGCCUGUCCCUAAUGUCCGAAUGAGAAGAGUUGCCAAGAGGCAGGAGCAGCUCAAGCAGAGAGGUCACCUCGGGGGUAGGGCCAAGAGAUAAUUGGCCCCUCCCAUAAGGUUUAAAAGAAGACCGGCAUCGGUGUCUCAGUUUGCUGGAAAACAACGCUGGAGCUGCGCUCGUCCCAUUCUCUGCUCUGGAUGUUUCUCCGAGAAGACCUUGGCAGCUCUCCAUUCUCUGCUUGAGACGCUUAUCUGCAAAGGACUUUGGCAAUUAUCUAAAUUGGACCAGGUUGGAAAUAAUGACAAACUGUUUUGUGUAAGAAGCCUUUGCUUUCUUUUGAGUUUCACAACGCUGUGAAUGGGUCAAUUCCCAGCUGCUUGAAUAAAGUUUAUUUUCAUUAAGGACUGCGUUUGUUGCUAUUUGCUCAAGUCUGGGUCACAACAAAUAGUACAUAGGGAUUCCAUCAAGAUAUUUAAAUCUAAUUGAUUUAAAAUUAAAUUAAAAUAAAUUAUGAGGGAAUAAUAUUAAGACUUCAAACCAAAGCAUGCUUACAAUGAUAUAAGUUAAUGAUGAGACCAAGUUAAAGCAAGACUUCAGCACAUGUACUAUUUGGCCAUUCAGUACGAUUGCUUAAUUUUUGAGGAAGAAUAAAUUUAUUCAAGUAGUUCCCAGAUAAUUCUUUCAUAAAGAGAAGGAAGUCAAAAACACCUAUCACUAGGUGGAGCUUUCUUUGGACUUUACAGUACAUAUGGCCCAACAGAAU
Long non-coding RNA from Ahaetulla prasina, 4430 nucleotides. RefSeq lists it as uncharacterized. The transcript is spliced from 3 exons. NCBI's taxonomy places the organism in Eukaryota, Metazoa, Chordata, Lepidosauria, Squamata, Colubridae. The record is from RefSeq and is a predicted model, not a curated record.